RNAcentral lists this unclassified non-coding RNA (278 nucleotides) under Venturia canescens. RNAcentral describes it as "uncharacterized LOC122407605, transcript variant X2". The record is from RNAcentral. Lineage: Eukaryota; Metazoa; Arthropoda; Insecta; Hymenoptera; Ichneumonidae.
GAGGGGGAGCGUCUAAACGAGGAGCGAUUAGAGGCUAGACGCUUCGGCCUAUGGUUUCAAGAGCUGAUGGAGUGUGAUUCAGGGUACUCGUCAGCUAACUCGUCAGCUAUCUCGUUAUAGGCCUACCGCGAUUAGUACGAGAUAUACAAACGGGCGGGGGAAGAACACGCAAUACACAGGGGAACGAGGCUUUCGGGGAUGUGCAACCCCCGGGAGGGCGGAUCAUCAUCACGCACGAUACAGCCCGUUAUUUCAAACGUUUUCAACUACGUGGUCGG